This 1292-nucleotide long non-coding RNA is filed under the name Venturia canescens. RNAcentral's name for it is "uncharacterized LOC122408847". Lineage: Eukaryota; Metazoa; Arthropoda; Insecta; Hymenoptera; Ichneumonidae. The record is from RNAcentral.
UGUCUAGCGGGCCUUAGAGGAAAAUAAAAGUUCUACGUUCUUCUUCUUUUUCUCCUAUUUAGGGCAGGUUUGUUCGGUAUUUCUAUAUCUACCAACGUAUAUCUCUCUCUCAAUUAUUAUCGUUCGCCUCGCCCAAUCACACCAGCCCAUGGCAAUGAGCGUGAGAGAGAACGAAAAUGUACAUGCGCAUGCGGCGCAUUCACACUUUUCGUAGGGCUACUUAAACUUAGCCCCCCUAUUUCGACUUUUUAAAUUUUUUCUAACGCGAAUCGUUUGAGGGUCGUUUGACGGUGUUUGUUUGAUCAAUUAAAACGUUUGUUUGAUCAUAAUAAUUCUAAAAAACGAAAUUGAAAAUUUGAAAAAAGUUAGCCCCAAUUUUUUAAUAUUUUUAUAGUAGCAAGGUCUAAUUAGGGUCAAAUCGACGGGGAAUCGUUUGACGGUGAUGAAUAUACGUUUGUUUGAUCACAGUUAUUGUAAAAAGAAGAAAAAAAGACAUUCCAAAAAAUGUUUGAUGAUCGGCCAUUUCACCCAGAGCAGUCAAUCUCAAAAAAUAUCGCUGUUCUUCUAAUUUUCACUGAAACCAUUUCAUAAUCGUUUGGUAGUGAUUGUUAGAUUAAUUGAGACAUUUAAAAAAUAUAUAAUCACUCUAAAAUAGGAAAUAGAAAAUUUCGUCGAAGUCCGAUCGAUUUUUCUGAUACACCCAAUAGAUGCGAAGAAUCGUCUCGGAGCAUUACGAGACCCCAUAUUGCAACUCUUGGACAUCAGUUCUUUGCGUCUUUGCGAGGUUAUCAAUACAAAAGUUUUAAAAAUCUUAUAAACUCUUCGAUUACACGAGCGAUACGAAAGUGAUACUAUUAUAUUUUAUGAAUGAGAACAACCAAUAAAUUACCAUUGUUGCAACUUGAUAUGCUCUUUAAUGAAAAUUAUGAUAUGAAGUUUUGUAUCCUUCGCAAAUCAUGAACUUGCUGGAGUCAUCCAAUCCACGCCAGGACUUCAAAAUAGAACAUAAUAAAAUGGAAAAAGCAUAAAUAAAAAUAAUUAAGAAAACUAUAAAAGUGGAUAGCUGUAUAAGUGAUUAACUGCAUAUAAUAACAUAAUAUAUUGAUAUUAGCUUUGCCGGGUUGUCCCUCGCUCUAAUAAUAAUCUUUCAGUCUUUUUGAAUCUUCUUAAUUUUUUUAACUUUUGUUAUUUGCAACAAACAAUCCCCUAGAGUAGUAAUAUGGCGUAUUGUCGAAAACGUUACGAACAGAUGUAAUUUCAUCACAACAAUAAAAAGUUUUGAAGAAUUUAAA